UACGGGGGGGGUAAGCGUUGUUCGGAAUUACUGGGCGUAAAGCGCACGCAGGUGGCUGAGUCAGUCGAUUGUGAAAGCCCUGGGCUUAACCUGGGAAUUGCAGUCGAUACUACUUAGCUCGAGUAUGGGAGAGGGCAGUGGAAUUCCCGGUGUAGCGGUGAAAUGCGUAGAUAUCGGGAGGAACAUCAGUGGCGAAGGCGGCUGCCUGGCCCAAUACUGACACUCAGGUGCGAAAGCUAGGGGAGCGAACAGG
Molecule: ribosomal RNA, 253 nt
Filed under: uncultured bacterium
Lineage: Bacteria
Description: partial 16S ribosomal RNA
Rfam family: Bacterial small subunit ribosomal RNA
Source: RNAcentral